AACUUGCUGCCCCAGCCCUCCCCUUCUAAGGAACUCCCACACCUGCCCUGUCUUCCUGCUACAGUCUCUGAGAAAAGCCCUUUCAUCUGUCAAGAACUACAAAAGUCAUUCUUUAAGCCUGUGAGCAGAACCAGAAGGGACACUCUCACAGCCUGUUCACCACGGAAUCCAGGAGGCAGGUCAAUUUUGGUGGCUGUCUCCACAACAUGGCUUUUUCCCCUUGAAGACCAUCAGGAGAAGAGCCUGUAUCUCCGCAUCUGUGGAAAUCGUCUUUGCCAUGUAAUGUGCCAUAACCACGGGAGUGACAUCGCAUCACAUCCCAGGGCCACCGCUAAGGAGGAGGGUGAGGAUCUUGACCCUCAUCUUAGAAUUCUGCCCUGCCUGGCUUCCACUUGUCCUCUUCUAAAUCUGUCUUAACUCAUUCCUUUGGUGCCUGUUUUUGCUGCCUAAAUUUUGGCAAUAAAGGGAGGAAUAAAAACA
Long non-coding RNA from Homo sapiens (human), 480 nucleotides. The record is from Ensembl. NCBI's taxonomy places the organism in Eukaryota, Metazoa, Chordata, Mammalia, Primates, Hominidae.